CCCGCAGUUGGUAAUCCUUCGAGGCAGCAGUAGGGAAUCUUCCGCAAUGGACGAAAGUCUGACGGAGCAACGCCGCCUGAGUGAUGAAGGUUUUCGGAUCGUAAAGCUCUGUUGUUAGGGAAGAACAAGUACCGUUCGAAUAGGGCGGUACCUUGACGGUACCUAACCAGAAAGCCACGGCUAACUACGUGCCAGCAGCCGCGGUAAUACGUAGGUGGCAAGCGUUGUCCGGAAUUAUUGGGCGUAAAGGGCUCGCAGGCGGUUUCUUAAGUCUGAUGUGAAAGCCCCCGGCUCAACCGGGGAGGGUCAUUGGAAACUGGGGAACUUGAGUGCAGAAGAGGAGAGUGGAAUUCCACGUGUAGCGGUGAAAUGCGUAGAGAUGUGGAGGAACACCAGUGGCGAAGGCGACUCUCUGGUCUGUAACUGACGCUGAGGAGCGAAAGCGUGGGGAGCGAACAGGAUUAGAUACCCUGGUAGUCCACGCCGUAAACGAUGAGUGCUAAGUGUUAGGGCUUCCGCCCUAUGCGUCCGCCGGAC
RNAcentral lists this ribosomal RNA (537 nucleotides) under Bacillus subtilis. Its description in RNAcentral is "bacterial SSU rRNA". It matches the Rfam family "Bacterial small subunit ribosomal RNA", at positions 323 to 856 of the family's 1533-position model. Lineage: Bacteria; Bacillati; Bacillota; Bacilli; Caryophanales; Bacillaceae. The record is from RNAcentral.